CCUACGGGAGACAGCAGUGAGGAAUAUUGGUCAAUGGGCGCGAGCCUGAACCAGCCAAGUAGCGUGAAGGAUGACUGCCCUAUGGGUUGUAAACUUCUUUUAUAUGGGAAUAAAACAGGGUAUGCAUACCCUCUUGUAUGUAACAUAUGAAUAAGGAUCGGCUAACGCCGUGCCAGCAGCCGCGGUAAUACGGAGGAUCCGAGCGUUAUCCGGAUUUAUUGGGUUUAAAGGGAGCGUAGGUGGAUUGUUAAGUCAGUUGUGAAAGUUUGCGGCUCAACCGUAAAAUUGCAGUUGAAACUGGCAGUCUUGAGUACAGUAGCGGUGGGCGGAAUUCGUGGUGUAGCGGUGAAAUGCUUCGAUAUCACGAAGAACUCCGAUUGCGAAGGCAGCUCACUGGACUGCAACUGACACUGAUGCUCGAAAGUGUGGGUAUCAAACAGGAUUAGCUACCCUUGUAGUC
This 460-nucleotide ribosomal RNA is filed under the name uncultured bacterium. Its description in RNAcentral is "partial 16S ribosomal RNA". It matches the Rfam family "Bacterial small subunit ribosomal RNA", at positions 338 to 795 of the family's 1533-position model. The record is from RNAcentral.